CCUACGGGAGGCAGCAGUGGGGGAUAUUGCACAAUGGGGGGAACCCUGAUGCAGCGACGCCGCGUGGGUGAAGAAGCGCCUCGGCGCGUAAAGCCCUGUCAGCAGGGAAGAAAAUGACGGUACCUGAAGAAGAAGCCCCGGCUAACUACGUGCCAGCAGCCGCGGUAAUACGUAGGGGGCAAGCGUUAUCCGGAUUUACUGGGGGGAAAGGGGGCGCAAACGGCGAUGCAAGCCAGGAGUGAAAGCCCGGGGCCCGACCCCGGGACUGCUCUUGGAACUGCGUGGCUGGAGUGCAGGAGGGGCAGGCGGAAUUCCUGGUGUAGCGGUGAAAUGCGUAGAUAUCAGGAGGAACACCGGUGGCGAAGGCGGCCUGCUGGACUGCAACUGACGUUGAGGCCCGAAAGCGUGGGGAGCAAACAGGAUUAGAUACCCCUGUAGUC
This 440-nucleotide ribosomal RNA is filed under the name uncultured bacterium. RNAcentral's name for it is "partial 16S ribosomal RNA". It matches the Rfam family "Bacterial small subunit ribosomal RNA", at positions 338 to 795 of the family's 1533-position model. The record is from RNAcentral.